GACGAACGCUGGCGGCGUGCUUAACACAUGCAAGUCGAACGAGUGCGGAAGGGGUGAGUAAUAGUGGGGUAACCUGCCCUAUUUAUGGGUUAAGCCUUGGAAACGGGGGCUAAUACGGAAUCAGGGGGGAGGGGUGUGCGGCUUAUCAGCUUGUUGGGGGGGUGAGGGCCUACCAAGGCGGUGAAGGGCAGCCGGCCGGUGAGGGGGACCGGACACAUGGGGAGUGGGAGACGGCCCAGACUGCUACGGGAGGCAGCAGUGGGGGAGAUUGCACAAGGGGCGAAAGCCUGAUGCAGGGACGCGGCGUGGGGGAUGGAGGCUUAAGGGUUGUAAACCGGUUUGGAUAGCGAACGGGUAGGUGGAGAAGAAGCGCCGGCUAACUACGUGCCAGCAGCCGCGGUAAUUC
This 406-nucleotide ribosomal RNA is filed under the name uncultured bacterium. Its description in RNAcentral is "partial 16S ribosomal RNA". It matches the Rfam family "Bacterial small subunit ribosomal RNA", at positions 28 to 526 of the family's 1533-position model. The record is from RNAcentral.